GACGAACGCUGGCGGCGUGCCUAAUACAUGCAAGUAGAACGCUGAAGCGAGGAGCUUGCUCUUCUUGGAUGAGUUGCGAACGGGUGAGUAACGCGUAGGUAACCUGCCUGGUAGCGGGGGAUAACUAUUGGAAACGAUAGCUAAUACCGCAUAAAAUGGUUUAUCGCAUGAUAAUCCAUUGAAAGGUGCAAAUGCAUCACUACCAGGUGGAACUGCGUUGUAUUAGCUAGUUGGUGGGGUAACGGCUCACCAAGGCGACGAUACAUAGCCGACCUGAGAGGGUGGUCGGCCACACUGGGACUGGGACACGGCCCAGACUCCUUCGGGAGGCAGCAGUAGGGAAUCGUCGGCAAUGGACGGAAGUCUGACCGAGCAACGCCGCGGGAGGGAAGAAGGUUUUCGGGUCGUAAAGCUCUGUUUUAAGGGAAGAAAGAGUGUGAGAGUGGAAAGUUCACGCUGUGACGGUAUCUUACCAGAAAGCGACGGCUAACUACGUG
This 497-nucleotide ribosomal RNA is filed under the name uncultured bacterium. Its description in RNAcentral is "partial 16S ribosomal RNA". It matches the Rfam family "Bacterial small subunit ribosomal RNA", at positions 28 to 507 of the family's 1533-position model. The record is from RNAcentral.